GCCUUCGUGGUGUAAUCGUCAGCACAUUCAGCUUGUAUUCGAGAGGUCCGACGUUCGAGUCCCGGCGAGGGCA
This 73-nucleotide transfer RNA is filed under the name Stegodyphus mimosarum. It matches the Rfam family "tRNA". From Rfam's summary of the family: Transfer RNA (tRNA) molecules are approximately 80 nucleotides in length. The record is from Rfam by way of RNAcentral. Lineage: Eukaryota; Metazoa; Arthropoda; Arachnida; Araneae; Eresidae.